GUCCACACUGUAAACGAUGAUAGCUAGGUGUGGGGGUCUGACCCCUUCCGUGCCGGAGUUAACGCAAUAAGCUAUCCACCUGGGGAGUACGACCGCAAGGUUGAAACUCAAAGGAAUUGACGGGGCCCGCACAAGCAGUGGAUUAUGUGGUUUAAUUCGAAGCAACGCGAAGAACCUUACCAGGUCUUGACAUCCGACUAACGAGAUAGAGAUAUGUCAGGUGCCCUUGGGGAAAGUCGAGACAGGUGGUGCAUGGUUGUCGU
RNAcentral lists this ribosomal RNA (263 nucleotides) under uncultured bacterium. Its description in RNAcentral is "partial 16S ribosomal RNA". It matches the Rfam family "Bacterial small subunit ribosomal RNA", at positions 793 to 1055 of the family's 1533-position model. The record is from RNAcentral.